Molecule: ribosomal RNA, 469 nt
Filed under: uncultured bacterium
Lineage: Bacteria
Description: partial 16S ribosomal RNA
Rfam family: Bacterial small subunit ribosomal RNA
Source: RNAcentral
UCCUCCCUCUUUCUUCGUGCUUAACACAUGCAAGUCGAACGGAAAGGCCCUGCUUGCAGGGUGCUCGAGUGGCGAACGGGUGAGUAACACGUGGGUGAUCUGCCCCUUAUUUUGGGAUAAGCCUGGGAAACUGGGUCUAAUACUGGAUAGGACCAUGCUGUAGGUGGUGUGGUGGAAAGAUUAGUUUCGGUAAGGGAUGAGCUCGCGGCCUAUCAGCUUGUUGGUGGGGUAAUGGCCUACCAAGGCGUCGACGGGUAGCCGGCCUGAGAGGGUGGACGGCCACAUUGGGACUGAGAUACGGCGCAGACUCCUACGGGAGGCAGCAGUGGGGAAUAUUGCACAAUGGGCGCAAGCCUGAUGCAGCGACGCCGCGUGGGGGAUGACGGCCUUCGGGUUGUAAACUCCUUUCAGCCAUGACGAAGCCCUUGUGGUGACGGUAGUGGUAGAAGAAGCACCGGCUAACUACGUG